Long non-coding RNA from Herpailurus yagouaroundi (jaguarundi), 306 nucleotides. RefSeq lists it as uncharacterized. The transcript is spliced from 2 exons. NCBI's taxonomy places the organism in Eukaryota, Metazoa, Chordata, Mammalia, Carnivora, Felidae. The record is from RefSeq and is a predicted model, not a curated record.
CUUGCAAAUAGCUCCCAGCCCACUGACUCGGGUUUCUGGAUCAGGAGACAAACAGAGAAGGCAGCCUAAAGUACUUCUUUCCUCACUGCAGCUCAGGAAGGAGAGCUUUGAGGAGCACCACGGAUGGCCCCGACAGGAAGGGUUUCGGAGCCUGCGGGGAACCUGGGCCUGUGUUUCCUGCCAUCUGUCCCCGGGGACCCCUGCCUGGUCCCGAUCCCAGUGGAGGAGCCCAGAGAGCUGUCGUUCGUGGGCACACCUAUCAGUAGUGACCACGUCAGAAAUUAAAACUGAGAAGUUAAAGACCUA